UACGUAGGGCGCAAGCGUUAUCCGGAAUUAUUGGGCGUAAAGAGCUCGUAGGCGGUUUGUCGCGUCUGCCGUGAAAGUCCAGGGCUCAACCCUGGAAAGCCGGUGGAUACUGUCGGGCUAGAGUCCGGAAGAGGCGAGUGGAAUUCCUGGUGUAGCGGUGGAAUGCGCAGAUAUCAGGAGGAACACCGAUAGCGAAGGCGGGUCUCUGGACCGAUACUGACGCUGAGGAGCGAAAGCGUGGGGAGCGAACAGG
RNAcentral lists this ribosomal RNA (253 nucleotides) under uncultured bacterium. RNAcentral describes it as "partial 16S ribosomal RNA". It matches the Rfam family "Bacterial small subunit ribosomal RNA", at positions 524 to 776 of the family's 1533-position model. The record is from RNAcentral.